Non-coding RNA from Pelobates cultripes (western spadefoot toad), 275 nucleotides. The record is from the annotation of a GenBank genome assembly. Lineage: Eukaryota; Metazoa; Chordata; Amphibia; Anura; Pelobatidae.
CUCAAACCUGUGGGGACAUCGUUACCAUACUGCUUCAUUUAGUGACCUGUACUAAGCUCUGACACCGCAUACAGCUGGGGUCUCAUUCUGUCAUCUAAGAUAAAAGGUUCUUUAAUAUUUAUCAGUUUUACUGGACUCUGCACAUUAUUCUCCUCACCGUAAUCACCUUGCUGAAACGGAAAAUUUAAAUAGUCACUUUAACUUCUUAAAAAUGUCUUCAUGUAAUGAGUUGGCACUAAGCAAAGGACACAAUAUAAUAAUAAUAUAUUAGUCAC